Neopsephotus bourkii (Bourke's parrot) is the source of this 284-nucleotide long non-coding RNA. RefSeq lists it as uncharacterized. The record is from RefSeq and is a predicted model, not a curated record. The transcript has 2 exons. NCBI's taxonomy places the organism in Eukaryota, Metazoa, Chordata, Aves, Psittaciformes, Psittacidae.
GGACAGGUCCACUCCUACAUGACUUCCAUUUCAGCCUUCCUUACCCUUUCCUUCCCAGGCGGGGCUUUGUAGGCCCUCCCCUUCUCUGCACCAACUCUGGAGCUCUGGGAGUUGAGUCACCUCUCUAACACACUCAAGGCACAGCAGGACUGGCAAGAGGAAGGGUGCAGAGGCAGGAUUUCACCCACUCAGGAACCAAGUUUCCUGAACUCCAGAUAGCAGUCCACCAGAGACAGAAGACAGACAGGGUGGAUUGUUUCCUUUUAAUUAAACAAUUAAAGACA